GGGAAGGUGGCUCAGUGGUAGAGUGCUUGCCUUGCAUGCAUGAGGCCCUGGGUUCAAUUCCUCAGCACCCA
This 71-nucleotide transfer RNA is filed under the name Dipodomys ordii (Ord's kangaroo rat). It matches the Rfam family "tRNA". From Rfam's summary of the family: Transfer RNA (tRNA) molecules are approximately 80 nucleotides in length. The record is from Rfam by way of RNAcentral. Lineage: Eukaryota; Metazoa; Chordata; Mammalia; Rodentia; Heteromyidae.